RNAcentral lists this ribosomal RNA (305 nucleotides) under uncultured bacterium. RNAcentral's name for it is "bacterial SSU rRNA". It matches the Rfam family "Bacterial small subunit ribosomal RNA", at positions 337 to 640 of the family's 1533-position model. The record is from RNAcentral.
GCCUACGGGGCGCAGCAGUGAGGAAUAUUGGUCAAUGGGCGCGAGCCUGAACCAGCCAAGUCGCGUGAGGGAAGACGGUCCUAUGGAUUAUAAACCUCUUUUAUCGGGGAGCAAAAGACGCCACGUGUGGCGUUCCGAGAGUACCCGAAGAAAAAGCAUCGGCUAACUCCGUGCCAGCAGCCGCGGUAAUACGGAGGAUGCGAGCGUUAUCCGGAUUUAUUGGGUUUAAAGGGUGCGCAGGCGGAAGAUCAAGUCAGCGGUAAAAUUGAGAGGCUCAACCUCUUCGAGCCGUGGAAACUGGUUUU